GCCUGGCUAGCUCAGUUGGUAGAGCAUCAGACUUUUAAUCUGAGGGUCCAGGGUUCAAGCCCCUGGUCAGGCU
RNAcentral lists this transfer RNA (73 nucleotides) under Ardeotis kori. It matches the Rfam family "tRNA". From Rfam's summary of the family: Transfer RNA (tRNA) molecules are approximately 80 nucleotides in length. Their secondary structure includes four short double-helical elements and three loops (D, anti-codon, and T loops). The record is from Rfam by way of RNAcentral. RNAcentral also lists the same sequence under 2 other names. Lineage: Eukaryota; Metazoa; Chordata; Aves; Otidiformes; Otididae.